Molecule: ribosomal RNA, 254 nt
Filed under: uncultured bacterium
Lineage: Bacteria
Description: partial 16S ribosomal RNA
Rfam family: Bacterial small subunit ribosomal RNA
Source: RNAcentral
UACGGGGGGAGCAAGCGUUGUUCGGAUUUACUGGGCGUAAAGGGCGCGUAGGCGGUCGUGACAAGUCACUUGUGAAAUCUCCGGGCUUAACUCAGAACGGUCAAGUGAUACUGUCGGACUAGAGUGCAGAAGGGGCAACUGGAAUUCUCGGUGUAGCGGUGAAAUGCGUAGAUAUCGAGAGGAACACCUGCGGCGAAGGCGGGUUGCUGGGCUGACACUGACGCUGAGGCGCGAAAGCCAGGGGAGCGAACGGG